Molecule: ribosomal RNA, 478 nt
Filed under: uncultured bacterium
Lineage: Bacteria
Description: partial 16S ribosomal RNA
Rfam family: Bacterial small subunit ribosomal RNA
Source: RNAcentral
GACGAACGCUGGCGGCGUGCUUAACACAUGCAAGUCGAACGGUAAGGCCCUUCGGGGUACACGAGUGGCGAACGGGUGAGUAACACGUGGGUGAUCUGCCCUGCACUUUGGGGUAAGCCUGGGAAACUGGGUCUAAUACCGGAUAGGACCAUGGACUCCACGGUUUGUGGUGGAAAGCUUUUGCGGUGUGGGAUGGGCCCGCGGCCUAUCAGCUUGUUGGUGGGGUAAUGGCCUACCAAGGCGACGACGGGUAGCCGGCCUGAGAGGGUGUACGGCCACACUGGGACUGGGUUACGGCCCAGACGCCUACGGGAGGCAGCAGUGGGGAAUAUUGCACAAUGGGCGCAAGCCUGAUGCAGCGACGCCGCGUGGGGGAUGACGGCCUUCGGGUUGUAAACCUCUUUCAGCACAGACGAAGCGCAAGUGACGGUAUGUGCAGAAGAAGGACCGGCCAACUACGUGCCAGCCGCCGCCGUAA